RNAcentral lists this long non-coding RNA (970 nucleotides) under Nicotiana benthamiana. RNAcentral's name for it is "long non-coding RNA (NBEN_LNC025982)". The record is from RNAcentral. Lineage: Eukaryota; Viridiplantae; Streptophyta; Magnoliopsida; Solanales; Solanaceae.
CCAGCAGCAGUUGAUGGUGUUUCAUCAGUAUCACAUCAUUCUUCUGGAUAUCAAACUACUAGGGGCGGGGUGCCAGGUCAAGUUUCCAUGGCUGAUAUUGUGAAGAUGGGUAAGCCGCAGAGCAAAGUGCCGAGUGUACCUAAUGUAUCUCACCACAAUGCCAAUGCCCACCAAAACCAUAUUCAAGGGCUGCCGUCUGGUGCAUCACAUCAAAAUACCGAUUGUACCCAGUGUAUCUCACCACAAUGUCAAUGCUAACCAAAACCAUAUUCAAGGGCUCCCUUCUGGUGCAUCACAUCAAAAUAUUCAAUUUUCUGAUGAUCAUGCAUCCAAUGUUUCUGAUGUAUAUCGAGAGUCUGGGGAUUAUCGGGUGCAACAUCGUUCAACCGAUGAGGAAUGGCCUCUAAUCGAGCAGCCAUCAGUUGCUAGCCAGCCCUUUAUCUCAGAGCCUCCUGCAGAUUCUGAGCUGCAUCCUGGUCCAGCUAACAUAUCAUAUGACAGAAUUAAUCAUCAAACUGAGAUUGAUGAGGUACAGGGGACUGAUGACAGCACUGCUGAAAAUCUUGGUAGUCCUCCAAGCAGAAAUUUGCAGGAGGAGAAUGCUGGAGGUGCAUCUAUUUAUGAGAAUGACCUCUACAGAUUUCAGAACCCGAAUCAUACUUUUGACCAUCAAGAAGGUUAGUAUAUCAUAGUUUUGAGUUGGUAUUGUGAUAUGCUUUUCAUUGUUAAUGAUCUCUACAGAUUUCAGAACCAGAAUCAUACUUUUGACCAUCAAGAAGGUUAGUAUAUCAUAGUUUUGAGUUGGGAUUGUGAUAUGCUUUUCAUUGUUGAAAAUAUGUCUUGUUGUCAAAUAGCUUAUGUAAUAGCUCGCUUGACAUAGUAUUGCUUAUUGUUUGUUUUUCAUUAUUUUCUCUGAGGUUUCCAGGCUUGGCAGGUCUUUAGUCCAGUAAACUAAAGAUUCUCUCUGUUC